UGGGGAAUAUUGCACAAUGGGCGCAAGCCUGAUGCAGCCAUGCCGCGUGUAUGAAGAAGGCCUUCGGGUUGUAAAGUACUUUCAGCGAGGAGGAAGGCAUUAAGGUUAAUAACCUUAGUGAUUGACGUUACUCGCAGAAGAAGCACCGGCUAACUCCGUGCCAGCAGCCGCGGUAAUACGGAGGGUGCAAGCGUUAAUCGGAAUUACUGGGCGUAAAGCGCACGCAGGCGGUCUGUUAAGUCAGAUGUGAAAUCCCCGGGCUCAACCUGGGAACUGCAUUUGAAACUGGCAGGCUUGAGUCUUGUAGAGGGGGGUAGAAUUCCAGGUGUAGCGGUGAAAUGCGUAGAGAUCUGGAGGAAUACCGGUGGCGAAGGCGGCCCCCUGGACAAAGACUGACGCUCAGGUGCGAAAGCGUGGGGAGCAAACAGG
This 429-nucleotide ribosomal RNA is filed under the name Caulobacter vibrioides. RNAcentral describes it as "partial 16S ribosomal RNA". It matches the Rfam family "Bacterial small subunit ribosomal RNA", at positions 355 to 776 of the family's 1533-position model. The record is from RNAcentral. Lineage: Bacteria; Pseudomonadati; Pseudomonadota; Alphaproteobacteria; Caulobacterales; Caulobacteraceae. RNAcentral also lists the same sequence under 2 other names.